UCUGAAUCUGCGAACGGCUCCGCAAACCAGUUGUAAGCAAUAGCAAGGAUGCUCGUCGAACCCGGGGCUCGCGCCCCGGCAAGUAGGCGGGCAACAAGGAUACCCCUGGUAAUCCUGAGGCUAAUACUUGACCGUAACGACCUUGGCAGCCCUCGCGGCAGCCGGGGACCGUGCGAUCACUCAAAGCGGUGGGAAACCAUCCGGGAAAGGACGCACAGUCAAACCGCGGCAAAAAAAGGUUCGGCGGAAUCCCUCGGCCUUCGCGGUCGGGGGAGAAGCCGUUUCUCGCGGGUCUUGCACUGCGCUUCUGACCUAUCAACUGUAUAGCAGUGUAAGGGACAUGCUAUGGU
Molecule: ribosomal RNA, 350 nt
Filed under: Physarum vernum
Lineage: Eukaryota; Evosea; Eumycetozoa; Physariida; Physaraceae
Description: bacterial SSU rRNA
Rfam family: Eukaryotic small subunit ribosomal RNA
Source: RNAcentral